CUAGCCGUAAACGAUGGGUACUAGGUGUGGGAGGUAUCGACCCCUUCCGUGCCGGAGUUAACGCAAUAAGUACCCCGCCUGGGGACUACGAUCGCAAGAUUGAAACUCAAAGGAAUUGACGGGGGCCCGCACAAGCGGUGGAGUAUGUGGUUUAAUUCGACGCAACGCGAAGAACCUUACCUGGACUUGACAUACCCUGAAUAUCUUAGAGAUAAGAGAAGCCCUUCGGGGCAGGGAUACAGGUGG
This 246-nucleotide ribosomal RNA is filed under the name uncultured bacterium. RNAcentral's name for it is "partial 16S ribosomal RNA". It matches the Rfam family "Bacterial small subunit ribosomal RNA", at positions 796 to 1041 of the family's 1533-position model. The record is from RNAcentral.